Molecule: ribosomal RNA, 508 nt
Filed under: uncultured Glomeromycotina
Lineage: Eukaryota; Fungi; Glomeromycota
Description: SSU rRNA
Rfam family: Eukaryotic small subunit ribosomal RNA
Source: RNAcentral
AGCAGCCGCGGUAAUUCCAGCUCCAAUAGCGUAUAUUAAAGUUGUUGCAGUUAAAAAGCUCGUAGUUGAAUUUCGGGGUCAGCAGGUUGGUCAUGCCUCUGGUAUGCACUGGUUUCGCUGAUUCCUCCUUUCUGAAGAACUGUAAUGUCAUUAAUUUGGUGUUGCAGGGAAACAGGACUGUUACUUUGAAAAAAUUAGAGUGUUUAAAGCAAGCUAACGCUUGAAUACAUUAGCAUGGAAUAAUGAAAUAGGACGUUUGAUCCUAUUUUGUUGGUUUCUAGGAUUGACGUAAUGAUUAAUAGGGAUAGUUGGGGGCAUUAGUAUUCAAUUGUCAGAGGUGAAAUUCUUGGAUUUAUUGAAGACUAACUACUGCGAAAGCAUUUGCCAAGGAUGUUUUCAUUAAUCAAGAACGAAAGUUAGGGGAUCGAAGACGAUCAGAUACCGUCGUAGUCUUAACCAUAAACUAUGCCGACUAGGGAUCGGAUGAUGUUAAUUUUUUAAUGACUCA